UGGGGGGAUAUUGCACAAUGGGGGAAACCCUGAUGCAGCGACGCCGCGUGUGGGAAGACGUCUCUGGAUUGUAAACCACUGUCCCCAGGGACGAAGAUGACGGUACCUGGGGAGGAAGCUCCGGCUAACUACGUGCC
RNAcentral lists this ribosomal RNA (137 nucleotides) under uncultured bacterium. RNAcentral's name for it is "partial 16S ribosomal RNA". It matches the Rfam family "Bacterial small subunit ribosomal RNA", at positions 354 to 509 of the family's 1533-position model. The record is from RNAcentral.